CCUACGGGUGGCUGCAGUGGGGAAUAUUGCACAAUGGGGGGAACCCUGAUGCAGCGACGCCGCGUGAGUGAAGAAGUAUUUCGGUAUGUAAAGCUCUAUCAGCAGGGAAGAAAAUGACGGUACCUGACUAAGAAGCCCCGGCUAACUACGUGCCAGCAGCCGCGGUAAUACGUAGGGGGCAAGCGUUAUCCGGAUUUACUGGGUGUAACGGGAGCGCAGACGGCUGGGCAAGUCUGGGGUGAAAGGCGGGGGCUCAACCCCGGGACUGCACUGGAAACUGUCAAGCUGGAGUGCAGGAGAGGCAAGCGGAAUUCCUAGUGUAGCGGUGAAAUGCGUAGAUAUUAGGAGGAACACCAGUGGCGAAGGCGGCUUACUGGACUGCAACUGACGUUGAGGCUCGAAAGCGUGGGGAGCAAACAGGAUUAGAUACCCGGGUAGUC
Molecule: ribosomal RNA, 440 nt
Filed under: uncultured bacterium
Lineage: Bacteria
Description: partial 16S ribosomal RNA
Rfam family: Bacterial small subunit ribosomal RNA
Source: RNAcentral